This is a long non-coding RNA of Mus musculus (house mouse), 528 nucleotides long. RefSeq annotates it as RIKEN cDNA 1700019F05 gene. The record is from RefSeq and is marked validated. The transcript is spliced from 2 exons. NCBI's taxonomy places the organism in Eukaryota, Metazoa, Chordata, Mammalia, Rodentia, Muridae.
CAAGCUGUAGACCUUAGAGAACUAACUGCAUUUCCAAUGCGAAGACCAAAGUCCCAAGAGCAGCAUGAAGUUUUCAUUCAAUUCUGAAGUGCACCAUCUUGGCAGCUGGCAUGGCAUGUGAAGAACGUUGAGCCUGGGAAAGCACAGUCUGUCUUCGGAGACCUUCUGGGACAACAGAGGUCACUCCUUAGCUGCUUUGUAUCCAACUGUUUCCUGUCAUCAUUCAUACAUUUGGAACAGAUAUUGGCAAAGCAAAGGUUGACUUGGGCUGUGAAGCAGAUAGAACUAGAAAGGGACCUCCCGUGACCCCGUCGGGGAUCCAGCUGGACUCUGGCAAAGUCCCUGGAAUCCAUGGACCCUUCUUCACGGGAAAUGCUAAUUCUACUCUGCUAGGCCACUCUCCAGAGAUAUUCCUCUCAAGUAUCAACAGUGACCAUUGCACUAACACUAGGCCAAAGGCCCUACGCUGCCUGGAAUAUUUAUUUACACCGCUUAUCUAAUGGUUUCUAGAUUAAAACAAUGAUCUUG